RNAcentral lists this long non-coding RNA (589 nucleotides) under Marmota monax (woodchuck). Lineage: Eukaryota; Metazoa; Chordata; Mammalia; Rodentia; Sciuridae. The record is from RNAcentral.
GGGUGCUUUUAGCAUGUGCAGAUAUACAUUACAUGCUCCCCACAUGGCAGAGUAGAGUAGAAAACCCCUACUACAGGGCAUGACUGGAGCACAAGGUGAGUGUCCAUGGAGCCUGGGACUGAAGAGAGGUUCAUGGGCCCAAUAUCUUCCUAGCAGCACCUGCUCUCCUCACCUCAUACCUUCCCAGCACACCUCCUGCACAGCAUCUUAACAUUGCUCUGCUUGGGCGGCCUUCAUUCUUCCCUGAAUCUCUUGUCUUUUAUGGGACAGGACAUCUUAAAGCAGCUCUCAACACUGCCCCCUAGAGGUGUUUUCCUGUUUCAGUGCCUUUGCCUCCACAGUCCCCUGUCAGAACUGUCUCCCUCAUUUCUUAGGAGCCAAGGACCAAUUCUGCUCCCUAUCUUCAGAAGACCCAAAGCUCUCCCCUCCCCACAACUCCAUCUUAUUCAACCCUCAGAUGAUAACAGGAGCUAGUUAUAUCCUGGCAUUGUCUUCCACUUUAGAGAGGAAGUCUCUUUCUUCCAGAACCUAGCUUUUUUUUACCUCUGUAUUUUUCACCGCUGGGAACACAAUGCCCUGCUCAUGAAGC